This 12222-nucleotide long non-coding RNA is filed under the name Trifolium pratense (red clover). RNAcentral's name for it is "long non-coding RNA (TPRA_LNC013104)". The record is from RNAcentral. Lineage: Eukaryota; Viridiplantae; Streptophyta; Magnoliopsida; Fabales; Fabaceae.
UUUAGAUACUUCAGAAAUAAUGUUUUUUCAUCAUUAUAAGGACCAUUAGGGUAAACACAAAGCUUAAGAGACGUAAGUCCCUGACAUGACAAAAUGCGGGGAAAAAUGAUACCUUGCUCUUGCUCUCUUGGUGUUGGGUGGAAUCAUUGAGAACACGAAUUUGAGAAAAAAUAAAUAAAAUCUCAGCAAAGUCAUGGUAGAUUACAAUUGAAAAAAAAGAAAAGUUGAGAAAAUACCGUGAAAUUGAAAUUGAAAUUAACGUACUUUUGAAAAGAACGGUAGAGAAGGUUUACCGAGAGUUGGGGUCAUACAGCAAGUUUUGUAUUUCUAGGGUUCUUAUUUUUAUUUUUUUGCUCGGAGGAAAAAUGUGUUAAGUUUGCGAUGUGAACAACAAGUAACUAAAAUUAAAGUUGUUUAAUAAUUUUUACUUAAAAAAAAAAGUUUUUUUUUUUUACAUACUUAAAAAAAAAGUUUAAAAGUUGUUUUUAAUUAUAGUUUUGAAUUCUCGCGCGUCUUAUUUUUACUUAUCCGCUACUACAAUUGCGAGCCUUAUUUUUACUCGUUCGCUGCUUAAUGGGAACAAGCAUAGUUCACAUCACAAUCUCUUUGAGGGUCCGUUGAGGUAUAAAACUGCAUGUACGUUUAAAAUCGAGAGUAUGCAGUGCAGUUGAGGUAUCAAGAAGAGUUAAAAUCUUAGUCACAAACAUGCCUAGUUUCUUUGCGGUGGUAAAUUCUGAGGAAUGCAAUAUAAGGGUAGGAUUAUAUUUCCAAAGAUUCUUCCAUCUUGGUUGACAGACACCGCGUCUGUCUUUGUCUACUAUAUAAAUUUAUGUUAAAAAAUUAAAAAAAUGUCCUAUGUUAUAGUGAAUUUUUUAAUUAGAGAUCCCAGCCUAAACCAAUUAGCUAAGAGCAGGUGAGUAGAGCUGUUAAAGGGGCUGGCCUGGUCUGGCCCGGCCCCGAGGGCCCGAACAUUUAAAGGGCCCAGCCGGUCAUGCCCGGGUUGAUAAACAAAAGCCUACAUGGUCCGAUGGACCGGCCCGUUUAAAUUUUUAUUUUUUUAGCAAUUUUUUUUUUAAAUGUAUGAAUGACACACAAAUUAGUAUCCAUAACACAAAAUGGGUAUCAUGAUUUCACAAGAUAAUAAAUAAUGCAAAAUAUCCACGCAAAAAUCAAGAAAUAAUAAAUUCACAAAGUGCACCCUCAAAUCUAAUAAAUUUCAAGCUUACAAUCCUUCAAUUGGGAUUUAUGACUUAACAAUGGAGGAUUCGUCUUCGUCUUGUUCAAAAAAACAAUGGAGGAUUCAUUUGGGUUUAGUCAAAAUUAUAUGAUAAACUAUAACUUGAAUUGAUUCUAAAUAUGUUUGCCUUUAAAUAAGCUUACAAUAGAAAAACAAACGUAAAAAAGAUAAUAACUAACUUAUUUUAAAUUUAUGAUCUUUUAAAUUUAAAAGAUAAUUAUCCUACUAAUAACAAACUUAAAGGGUCAAAAUAUCUUUUUGUUUCAAAAUCAAAAUUUCAGUUUAUUUUUUUUCAAUAUUUUUUUUAAAAAUUCUUUAAGGGGCAGGCCCAAAAGCCCGUGGGCUGGUCCAUGACGGCCCAUGAAAAAGCCUGACCUGAUAAGGCCCAACCCGCAAUUUGUGAAGCCCUACCCGUGUAAAUAUAUAGGGCUAAUAGGCCGGCCCGUUAGCCCCACCCAUUUUGACAGCUCUACAGGUGUGCCGUCAGAUCAAAAGGAUCAUGUAGCAUAGGUAUAGAAUAGAUAUAAUAAAGUUAAAAGAUAUGUUUGAUAAUAUAUUAUAUAUUUUUUUAAGUAUAGAAACUGUUUUUUUUCUUCUUAAUAGAGCUUUUAAAAAUUGUUGUUUAGCCUAACUUCUUACUUAUAUGAAAAAAGAAGAGGAAAAAAGUUAGGUUAAAUAGUACCUAAGGACCACACAAAUUAGUGUUAAUGGAUUGGACAAAAAUAAAGAUUUUUAUUUUCUACCGAACUAUGAGAGACAAUUUUUUGUCUUCUCACAAGUUGUCUAAGAUACCAAAAUAACUUUUUUAUACAUCGAUCAUCGUAGAAGAUAAAAUUUAUUCAAUACCUUAAUAACAUGUGUCAUGUGUUGUUCCGUUUUGUACUGUUAUGUAUUGUUCUGUUUUGUACUGUUAUGUAUUGUUCCGUAAGAAAGUUGUUUUAUAAGUAUUAGAGAAAACAACACUCGUGGCAAGCAAUUCUUAUAAAUAUUUUGCACAAAGACUUUUUUUUUUUGGCUUUCACCACCAGUUUAAUCUGGUUCGGGGGUCGGUUCUGGCAUCAAGUGGUUCCAGCCCCCUCCCGAUCGUAGUUGCAGGGAUCGAACCGUGGUCCUCCCAACCAAGUUCAGCAUCAAUUACCACUGAACCAACUAACGAUUAAAACAAAGGAAACUCAAAAUGAAUAAAAGGAACAAUAGCGUGCCUAAAUCAGACUAGAACGACUUGUAAGCAAAGUAACAUACAUCCCUGCAACUCGCAAUAUGUGAACAAAAGCCACUAAACCUUUGGCUUCUUUGCUGGUGUGAAGCUUACAUUGCUUCCUAUUUUUAACCGAUAAUUUUUCUCUUCAAGGACGAUUCUUCGACCGAGCAAAUCACAUGAUCAACUAUAAAGAAUAAUAAUUAGUUAAGAUAAACUUUUCAGCAAGAACUUCCUACAAUCUUUUUGCUUUGAAAUAAUUACCACGACUAUAAAUUUUUUAAAUAACUACCUAAGGUAGGCGGCAACAGAAGGUUUCAGAGUUUAAUUCAAGUACAUGAUCUAUGAUAACUUCUAUUGACGGCGAGUUUUGAAGCAAGAAGUCCACUAUUCCAUCAGGCAUGCUUAAAGAUGAUUGAUAUGAACAAAUUUGGAAUCUAAGGUAAAGAAAUAGUAAAAUAUAGAAUGGAUGUUGGAAGCAACACACUGUUAUAUUGAUUAUCCUAUAGAAUCAAGGUGAUUCUAUGGUAGAAUUUCAUCAGUCAUUGAUUUCAUCAGUACUUAAUUCAGUGACUUCAACUUACACAAGGAAUAAAACUCCAUCGAUAAAUAUGAAACAAGGGAGAGAACCUGAGCAAUGAAGUGUGAGGAUGAGUUAGGUUCAGUUUAACACAAGUCAAAAUAUUUUAGACAAAAUGUAGAAAUAAAAAAACACAUCUUAAGAAGAAAGUUUAUUAAGCCAGUAGAGUAAAGCCAAAGAGAAAUAAAGCAAUCUCCUGAUACAUGCUCGCUGUGCAAUGAUGACAAUAGUUGCAAAAACACCAUUAUUUUCAGGUUCAGGGACUGCAUUCUGAAGUAGAAUUAUAUUUUUAUUAGAAUAUUUCUAAGAGAAAUUGACUUAUAUAAAUAAUCUCUUGUUCUCAUUCUCAUAUUGAUAUAUAUAUCUAAAUGCAAUUUUAUAUGUAGUUUCUGGAAUGCAAAGUUAUUAUGGAUAAUAACUUUCCAUAACUUUUUGGUUUGGUCUUAUUAUCAAUUUAACAAUACAUAAGCUGUAUAUUCUUGGCUCUUGAGUAAUUAGAUACAUUUUUUGUUCUAAUGCAAAUGUUGGGGAAAAAAAAAACUACUUUUUAUCAAUCAAAUAGGAAAUCAAUAAAAAAAAUCAGUAGUCUAAUGUAUAUCAUCACAUCUAUUCGUAUAUGGAUUUUGCAUGUCUAUAUGCAUCAAAUCUGAUUAUUCAACCAUUGUUGUUAGUUGAGUAGCGGUAGUAGUUUUUAAGUCAGUUCAGAAACAAUUUACAAGUUGAAAACUAGUUCAGAACCAAAACUAAACUAACCAUUUUUGUGUUUAAAACAGUUUGGUUCAAAAGUUUUAAAACCGAUGCAGAGAACCAAAGAAUCAGUUCAGUUUGGUGAACAGUAAAACCGAUUCAAUUUGGUUCAGCUGAAAUGGUUUCCAAUUCGGUUCAGUUUUCUCUGGUGAAUCAAACCAUGACCACUCCUAGUUUGACAGGCAAUUAUGACCGUCGAAUAUCUCAUAACAUGUCUUCCAAAAUGACUUAAUGCAUAUUUCAAAAAUACUCAAGCAACUAAAACAACAAAAUGAACUAAAAUGAACAAUAUAGAGCCUAACCUUUGGCUUCUUUGCCGGUUUGAAACAAGAAGUCCACUAUUUCAUAAGGCAUAUGCUUAAAGAUGAUUUGAUCAGUACUUUCAGUGACUUCAACGUACACAAGGAAUAAAUCUUAAGGUACCUGAAUAGUACCUUAAGGCUAAAGAGCUGUUCUGAUGACAUGUAAAAGCAUCGAUGUUUACUUGUUUAACAGAAGAAAGACCGAUACUGCAUAGUUUAUAUGAAGGGGUGGAGCAGAUAACUGAAGUUUGGAAAUGAGUAUGAAACUAUCAUGCAUGGUUAAAUUGACGAACGUCGCAUUUGAUUUUGCUAGUUGCGAGAGAUUGAACCGCGGUCCUCCCAACUAAGUUCAGCGCCAAUCACCACUGAACGAACCAACAAUUGAAAAUUUUUGGUUAAACUUUGUUUAUCUUGUGAACAAACUCUAGAUUUUCGGGAUUCCCUAGGAACUAGAAUAUUAAUACCAAAAGAAAUAAUAAAUAAUUACUAAAUUUUUUUUUUUGAGAAAAUAAAUAAUUACUAAAUGUUUUCACAUAAAUGAUUCCGUGAGCAUAAUUUGAUUGGUAGUGACAUUGCACGUAAAAUGCAGGGAUCAGAGUUUGAACCUUGAUACUCCCACUAUUUCACCUUAAAAAGUGAAAUUCUAGUCACUAAAUUACUUGGAUAAAAAAGAAGCAAAUGAGAAAUAAUAAUAAUAAUAAUAAUAAUAAUAAUAAUAAUAAUAAUAAUAAUAAUAAUAAUAAUAAUUCAGAUUUCGAUGGGAAUCAAAUGGGAAAUGAUCCUCUCAAUUUUUUCCCUCAAUUUAUACAUCUUAACUAUGGAUAAACUUUUCUUCAUUUUUUUAUAAUUAAAAUAUUAACACAUAAUUUAUAUACAAACAUUAUUGGCAUUCUCGGUAAUGCUGAAAAGCUGUACUGCCUAAGAAAAAAGUUAUAUAUAUUAACUGUUUAAUUGAUAUGCACCGACGGUGUAAAAUACUUUUACACCAUCGUCCAAUAAAUAAUCAUUAUUUUUCCAUGUUAUGUCAAGAAAGUGGGGUGAAGUGGGAUGAUGUGGCAAAAAAUAUGAUUGGUAUUAGUUGACGAUGUAAAAUUAUUUUACACCGUCAGCGGUGCAUAUCAAUUAAAUCCUAUUAACUUUGACCCGACUUCUAUUUUUAUUAAGUAGAAAAGUUUGAAAUAAGCUGGCCCAAACAUAUAGUUUGAUGCAAGCCACUUGAUUUUUGACAAAAGUUGGAAAUAAAUAAAAAUGCAUAUUUUAAGUUAUUGUAGGCUUUAUGGUUGAUUGUUGUCAUUGUUGUAAGACAUAUUUUCAAUUUAAUACUUAUUUUAACCCACUUGGGGUUGGUCUAGUAGUGUUGGCUUAAAUCUUUAGAGUAUGCUCCUCUCAAGGUCUCAGGUUCGAUUCCUCCUGGUGCUAAUUUUGGUGGGAUAAGUUCACACAUAGAAAAAAACUAGCUUUAAAUGGGGUUCCGCAAGUGGGCGGUGGGAUUGGUCUCCUUGGAUUAGUCGGUCAUAGGACCGGAAACGAAGUUUUCAAAAAAAUUUAAUACUUAUUUUAUGAUUAGGAUGAACGAUUUUACUACACUAUUAUUUAAUAUUUAUCACGGAUGAUUUCUAAAAUAUUUACAAGAGGAAUUGGGUAACCGGCAUGAGUGAAACUUCAUAUAAGAUAUGCAAAAGGUAUAAUUUCUGUAACCAUGAUUUAACUACAAAGUUGCAAUUAAAAAAUAUGGUCAUUUACCCUUCUGUGUCGUGAAGUGCAAUCAAAUCAGUCUCUGAGUCGUAGACUCACGUUGGCUAACAGCUAGCGGUGUUAUAUAGUAAGGAUGACACAAAUUGGCAAAAGACACUUUAAACCAAGGUGAUGAGUAAACUGUGGAAAUGAUUUAAAAAGCAUAGAGAUACUUAAGCAAUAACAAUUAAUUAACAGAAUGAAUAACUUUCCUUGAGUACCACACAAUCCUUGUCAUUGAAAGAAAAUCCUUUAACCAGAAAGAGUAUCAUAUCAUGUGAGUUCAACCACUUUAUUUUGAAGUAUUUUUUGGCAAGGAGAGAAGAGAAAGACUUCAUGAUUUUCCUUUUUGUGAGAGUAUUAGAAAUUAUUAUCGCGAAAGGAUUUUGAAAAUUUUCGAAGCACUCCAAAAUCACAGCUAUAGUUUUUUAUUUCAGCCCCUCAUUCCAUCACAAACAAUAUUGGAUCAAGAAAAUGUGAAUAAAUGCAGGAUUCUCUUUUGUGUGAGUGAUGUCAACAAAAAACAUGAAUUAUCAACACCAGAAAACAGAAUUAUAUAAAAACCAAAGAAAUCAUCGAUAAAAAUAUCUAGUAACAACUAAAUGAUUCAUUUAGGCUCCCAAAAACAAAAACACAGACCUAAUGCAUGUCAAAUCGUACAACAUGAUUGAUAUAGUCAGCAUUCGGCAAACUGAUUUCAGUCACUUAUCUGAUAUCUAAUAUCCCAAGGCAUACUUUGAACUACAAUCCAAAAGAAAGGUUGACACAGAAGGCAUUGUAACUUGUAAGGUUGACGCUCUUCAAAGCCCGUUAUCUUGAGGUGGGGAACGGGUGUUGGGUUGGCUCUUCUCAACUGUAUCUUCGUUUGAUGAUGUAUCGAAAGUCAAACUAACAAUAGCAAUAGUCAAAGAAAAAUUUAUCAAUUCAAAAAAUUAACUAGAGUUAAAAUAAAGGAGAAAUAAACAAUAGUUGAAUAUGAAAGAUACUAAAUCUCAUAAAAUAAAACAAAGGAAACAUUCUAAACAGUAGGCAUACUUCAAAAGUAUCACACAACUAAAAGAAAGGAAACUUGCAAAAGUUUCCAAAUUUCAUUUUUAAUUUUAACUGGAAUAUCUCUCAGGCCUUGAAUGAUGCUUAUCAAACAGGUUACAAUAAUACAAUUCCAUUUGAUCCUUCUGAGGAUGAGUUUCUUUGGAAACAUAAUUCUGGUAUUCUGACCCUCAAAGAUGCUUAUAUUUUCCAAUCUCCUCCUCGUCAGAAGAUUCCUUGGGCUAAAUUGAUUUCAAGCUCUUCUAUCACUCCUUCUAAAUCUCUUCUUCUUUGUUGAACCUUGCAUAACAAGAUUCCUACUGAAUGCUAAUAGCUGGUGCUUUCUUGUCCCUCAGGUUAUUAUAGGGCUGACUAUUCUAGAAAUAGAUUAGUUAUUCCUUACUUUCGUUUUUUUAACCUUUAAGAGGGUUUUGGUUUGGCCCCCCUCCUUUCUCUUUUUAUUUCUCUGAUAUUUAGGGCUCCGCAGUUAUCCUGCAACCCAUCUUUUGUCUUAAAAAAAAGAGUAAACUUUAUUUUUUUUGUUAAAAAAUGAAAAAUAGAGUCUCAAAGUUAUGAAUGAAAACCACAAAAAUUGUGGCCUCUUUGCGAGUUUGAUGUUUCACUUGCUUCCUAUUUUUCAAUCGAUAAUCCUCUGCAAGAAUAAGUCACUGCCUAAAGAAAUGACAUAUCAACUAAAGAAAAUCACAAGAUCAAGUAUAAAGAAUAGUUUACCGUAGUUUGGUGGGCCAUUUCAUCCGACUGCAUACUUUCAGUGUCUUCAAGUUACACAACAAUGAAGGGAGUUUAGCCUUGAAUAAAUCAGGAACUAAGAAGAGAAUCUGAGCAAUUAGGGAGAAUUAUGAUUAGGUUGAUGCAAGUCAGUUGAUUUUUGACAAAAUUUGUUUAUGAAAUAAAAAAACAUCUUAAGAAGAAAGUAAACAUGAAACCUCAAAACAUAGCAAGUUAAUGUACCUUAAGAUUACUCGCAGUGACUGUCAAUGAUUUUGUAUUAAUAAGGUCCUGCGGCCAGCUGAAUAGAACAAAAGGAAGCUCCUCAAAUGUAUUUGAAAAUAUGUCCGCUUCAAUAUUUACUUGUUUAAUUGAAGAAAGACUGCUUCCACACAGUCUCUGAUGAGGAACACCAUCAAAAGUAAUGGUAUAAAGACUAGGAGCGAAUAACUCAAUUUUGGUAAAGUCAGAUGAAUUAUUAGACAUAGCUAAAUUGACAAGGGUUGAACUUGAUAUUCUUAGAAUCGGGGCAUCCAUUACAGUACAAUUAGAAAUGAUCAAAUUAUUUAAGCAAUUAAAUGAUGAAAAGGGUUCGGCAUGAUCAGCAAUGUCGCUAGCACAAAAUGCAAAAUAAGUUAGAUCCAAGCUAGUCAAUGCUGGCAAAUUCAGAGAUUUUGGAAAUAAUGUUCUUUUCCCAUUACUAUAAAGACCUUUAGGGUAAACACAAAGCUUAAGAGACGUAAGAGCCUGGCAUGAAGAAAUGCGAGGAAAAAUGAUACUACUAUCACCUUUAACACAGAUUCCUAAUUGCUUGAGUUGGGUAUUAUGGGAACAAGCAUAGUUUACAAUCUCUUUGAGAGUCCGUUGAGGUUCAAAACUGCCCAAACGCUCAAAAUCGAGAGUGUGCAGUGAAGGUGUGGUGGUAUCACGAAGAUUCAAAAUCUUAGUCACAAAUAUGGCUAAUUUUUUUGCAUUGGAGAAUUCUGAGGAAUGCAAUAUAANNNNNNNNNNNNNNNNNNNNNNNNNNNNNNNNNNNNNNNNNNNNNNNNNNNNNNNNNNNNNNNGGAGAACACAAUCAGGUAAGUCACUCAACCUAUCUUCAUUCUCUUCAUUAUUAUCAUGCCUCCCUCUCUUGUUGUCGGGUGGAAUCAUUUUCUCAUGCGCUAAACUAGACAUUACAACUCAGAUAACUACCGGUACCUGCACAAGCAUAAACGGAAAAAACAAUGUGGAAUCAUUUUCUGCAAUAUUAUACAACGGAUCACGAAUUUGAGUUACAAAGAGAAUCAAAUCUACGGCGAGCUUUCAAAUCUCAUCAAAGUCAUACUAGAUUGCAAUUGGGAAAAUGGAUAGGAACGGUGGAAAGAGGUGCUAGAUUGCAUACCUUGAAAUUGACGAUUUACACAUCCAAGCAAACACUUCGCUCUAUUUCGUACGGGAUAGAAACGGUGAAGUGAGGUCUACAGACUGGUUCAUAGAACCAGUUUUCUAGGGUUCCAACAAAAUGCAUUAGUUUAGACACUAAACUAUUUGACCAACAAAAAAGAAGAAUUACCAACAUUUGAUUGGUCCAUUUGCUGCCACAUCAUAUCAAAAUAUGUCAUGUAUGCAUAAUUUUAAGUAUUUGAGUCCAAUUUCAGAAAUUGAAAAAAAUGAGAGGCCAAAAUUGGGAAAUUUAAAAUGUGGGGACCAAAAUUCAGAAAUCGACAAAUAAGGGGAUCAAAACUGCAAUUAAACCAUUUGGUUCCGUUUUCUUUGGUGAAUCAAACCAUGACCACUAAUUUGACAAGCAAUUCUUAUAAAUAUUUUGCACAAAGACUCUAGGAAGCAUGCAUAUUUCAAAAUAAUCAAGCAAUUAAAACAAAGGAAACUCAAAAUGAAUUAAAAGGAACAAUAGAGUGCCUAAAUUAUGCUUUUAUUUAUAAAUCAGACUAGAACGACUUGUAAGCAAAAUAACACACAUACCUUUUGCUUCUUUGCCAGUUUGAAGCAAGAAGUCCACUAUUCCAUCAGGCAUGCUUAAAGAUGAUUUGAGAAACUUUAACUUACACCAGGAAUAAAUCUUAAGCUAUAUCAUGUGAGUUCAACCACUUUAUUUUGAAGUACAUUUUGGCUAGGAGAGAAGAGAAAGACUUCAUGAUUUUCCUUUUUGUGAGAGUAUUAGAAAUUAUUAUCGUGAAAGGAUUUUGAAAAUUUUCGAAGCACUCCAAAAUCACAGCUAAAGUUUUUAAUUUCAGCCCCUCAUUCCAUCGGAAACAAUCGCGUAUCAAGAAAAUAUGAAUAAAUGCAGGGUUCAACUUUAGUACGAGUGAGAUCAACAAAACACAUGAAUUAUCAAGAUCAGAAAACAGAAUUAUAUAAAAACCAAAGAAAAUAUCUAGUAACAACGCAAUAAUUCAUUUAGGCUCCCAAAAUCAAAACAACACACCUGUUCAUACAGAGAUAAGGACCAAUAUAACGGGACUAGUACAUGAUUCGUACAUAAUUAAAUGGCCAAGACAUACUCUAUGCAGGUUCCUCCAUCAGUAUAUUGGAAUUUAGCAUUAAAUUGGAGACUAUCAGAUGGAAUAAUCUCGCCAAUCUCAAAAAGACUUCAUGUGAAUGAUCCGUUGCAUGUCAAAUCGUACAAGGUCAGUAUAGUCAGCACUCAGCAAACUGAUACUUUCAGUCACUUAUCUGCUAUCUAAUAUCCCAGGGCAUACUUUGAACUACAAUCCAAAAGAAAGGUUGACGCAGAAGGCAUUGUAACUUGUAAGGCAAUACUGUUGAUGAGCACUCUUCGAAGCCCGUUAUCUUUGAGGUUGGAUGUGGGUGUUGUGUUGACUCUUCUCAACUAUAUCUUCAAUUGAUGAUGUAUCAAAAGCCCAACAAGUAGCUAAAUCUAUCAACUCAAAAAACUUCACAAGAGCUAAAACAAAGGAAACAUAUACAACAAUUGAAUAUGAAAGAUACUGAAUAUCAUAAGAUGUUUUUCCAAAAACACUCUAGGCAGUAGGCAUAUUAUGAAUAGUACCACACAACUAAAACAAAGUUAACUUUAUUGUUUAUUUUAGAAAAUGAACAAUAGAGUGCCUAAAUUAUGAAUGAAAGCCACAAAAACCGUGGCCUCUUUGUGGGUUUGUAGUUUCAUUUGUUUCCAAUUUUUAAUGGAUAGUCCUUCUCUUCAAGAAUAAGUCACUGACUAAGCAAAUGACGUAUCAACUAAAGCAAAUCACAAGAUCAACCACAAUGAAUAAUGUACCUUAGUUUGGAGGUCCGUUUUAACUGAAUGCAUAAUUUACUGCGGACCCCUGUAAUCGAUGAUGUCAACUUCUGCAGAUGGUGAGUUUUGAAGCAAGAAGUGUACUACCCCCUUAGGUAUGAUUACAAAUGGUUCAUCUGCUUCUUUGAGAAGUAUCUUGUAAGCUUCUUUACGCGACUUGUAUUUAAACACAACUUCUUUCCUUACAUAAGAUGAUAAUCCAAGAGUGCGUGGUUUCAGUUCUACUUUCAGUGACUUCAAGUUACGCAAGGAAGGGAGUUUAACCUUGAAUAAAUCAGGAUCUAAGGAAAGAAUCUACGCAAUUAGGGAGGAUUACGAUUAGUUUGAUGUAAGCCACUUGAUUUUUGACAGUAUUUGGAUUAUUUUUUUUUAUAAAAAAACAGUAUCUUACUAAGAAAGUAAACAUGAAACCUCAAAACAUGGCAAGUUCAGGUACCUGAAGAGUAUAUGCAUUGACGGUCAAUGAUUUUAUAUUAUCAAGGUCUUGCAGCCAGCUGAAUAAAAACAAAUAAGGCUCCCCAAUUCUUGAAAAUAUGUCUACAAGAAUAUUUACUUGUUUAACUGAAGAAAGACUGCUUCCACACAGUCUCUGCUUAGGAGUACCGUAAAAAGUAAUUGUAUGAAGACUUGGAGCGGAUAGCUCGAUUUUGGUAAAGUCGGACGAGCUAUUACUACGCACAGUUAAAUGUACAAUGGUGGCACUUGAUAUGGUUAUCCCUUACACUACAUCUAGAAAUGAUCAAAUUAUUCGGUAUGUUAAAAGAUGAAAAUGGUUCGGCAUGAUCAGCAUUGCCAUUUGCGCAAAAGGAGAAAUUAGAUAGAUCCAAGCUAGUCAAUGCUGGCAAAUUUAGAUACUUCGGAAAUAAUGUUUUUUCAUCAUUAUAAGGACUAUUAGGGUAAACACAAAGCUUAAGAGACGUAAGUCCCUGACAUGAAAAAAUGCGGGGAAAAAUGAUACUACUACUAUCAUCUGAAACGGAGAUUCCUAGUUGCUUGAGCUGGGUAUUAUGGGAACAAGCAUAGUUCACAAUCUCUUUGAGGGUCCGUUGAGGCAUAAAACUGUUUGUGAGUAUGCAGUGCAGUCGAGGUAUCCCGAAGAGUUAAAAUCUUAGUCACAAACAUGCCUAGUAAUUCCGAGGAAUGCAAUACAAUCGGGUAAGUUACUAAGUCUAUCUUCAUUAUCAUCAUGCCUUGCUCUCUUGGUGUUGUGUGGAAUCAUUGAGAACACGAAUUUGAGAAAAAAUAAAUAAAAUCUCAGCAAAGUCAUGGUAGAUUACAAUUGAAAAAAAAGAAAAGUUGAGAAAAUACCGUGAAAUUGAAAUUAACGAUUUAUGGGUCCAAGGAGUGGAAAAGAACGGUAGAGAAGGUUUACAGAGAGUUGGGGUCAUACAACCAGUUUUGUAU